Molecule: ribosomal RNA, 468 nt
Filed under: uncultured bacterium
Lineage: Bacteria
Description: partial 16S ribosomal RNA
Rfam family: Bacterial small subunit ribosomal RNA
Source: RNAcentral
GACGAACGCUGGCGGCGUGCUUAACACAUGCAAGUCGAACGGAAAGGCCCUGCUUUUGUGGGGUGCUCGAGUGGCGAACGGGUGAGUAACACGUGAGUAACCUGCCCUUGACUUUGGGAUAACUUCAGGAAACUGGGGCUAAUACCGGAUAGGAGCUCCUGCUGCAUGGUGGGGGUUGGAAAGUUUCGGCGGUUGGGGAUGGACUCGCGGCUUAUCAGCUUGUUGGUGGGGUAGUGGCUUACCAAGGCUUUGACGGGUAGCCGGCCUGGGAGGGUGACCGGCGACAUUGGGACUGAGAUACGGCCCAGACUCCUACGGGAGGCAGCAGUGGGGAAUAUUGCACAAUGGGCGGAAGCCUGAUGCAGCAACGCCGCGUGCGGGAUGACGGCCUUCGGGUUGUAAACCGCUUUCGCAUGUGACGAAGCGUGAGUGACGGUAAUGGGUAAAGAAGCACCGGCUAACUACGUG